This 61-nucleotide microRNA precursor is filed under the name Pristionchus pacificus. Its description in RNAcentral is "mir-8364 microRNA precursor family". It matches the Rfam family "mir-8364 microRNA precursor family". Lineage: Eukaryota; Metazoa; Nematoda; Chromadorea; Rhabditida; Neodiplogasteridae. The record is from Rfam by way of RNAcentral.
UCUUCAUUUCUCGUGCUAUCUCAUCGGUCAGAGUGACGAGAGAGUGUGUUUAAUGAAGAGA